UAUUCCUCAAUUGAACUACUGUUACGAGUUGCAGUUUUCUUAUGUUUAUAUGAAAAGUAUCAUAAGUGUUAAACAUCUGUGACUAAUAUGUCCUUUUUGCCUUCUCCUAUUUGGUUUAUAAGUUUGCAUUUGAUCUGGUGGUAGAAAAUAAUGACCCUUUAAUUAUAGUGGGGUGAUGUAGCUAAACAUGGUGGAUUUAUAGCCACAUGAAGGUAAGCUCGAAUUGUAAUAUGUGUCCAACUUUUAAGGUCACAGCCAAUAAUUUAUAGAGAUGUACUAUAAGGAGCUUUAUUUCACUAUGGAUCAAUGUUUUAAAAACAUGGAUCGUUCAUCAUCCUGGAAGGUGGCCUUUUUCCCAAUCCACCUCAGCUGAGCCUUCUUCUACCUCAGUGGUGCUCUCGAGUUCGUCUACACCGCUGCCAAAAGGUGGCCUUUUUCCCAAUCCACUGGUGGAUCACAAACUGAAGGCCGUGCAACCAGCCCAACUAUACCCAACAUAUGAUGGGUUCUCAUCUGGUUGACGACACAGUUCCCAUCCCUAACUUGCCUCCCCGACAACAUGACAAGAACUUUGUGCACCAACACUUGGAUUUUGACAUAGACCACCAUGCCCAGCCAGGUGUUUUUCCUAAACAGCGGCACUACGGCGAUGACUUAAGAACACACUGGAUUGAGGGUCUCUCACACCCACACACACGCUUGUGUUCA
Prunus avium (sweet cherry) is the source of this 708-nucleotide non-coding RNA. The record is from RefSeq and is a predicted model, not a curated record. Lineage: Eukaryota; Viridiplantae; Streptophyta; Magnoliopsida; Rosales; Rosaceae.